AACGCCUCUCUACGAACAGAAGCUGCUCGUUUGCAAUCACCAAGCUUCGAUUCCAAAGAAUAAGACGGUGUUUUCCCCUGAACAACAGAUUGUAUAAUCUCCUCGUCAUUCUCGGAUACUGCUGGUGUAAUUAUAGGUGCAGGCUUCUCCGCAACGGAUAAAGCUACCUAACAGAUUGUACAAUCUCCUCGUCAUUGUCGGAUACUGCUGGUGUAAUUAUAGGUGCAGGCUUCUCCGCAACGGAUAAAGCUACCUUAGUAGGUUGCUGUGGAACCAUUGGGACAACUUUUCGAACAGGUGGUGGAGGAACAGCAGUGCAGCCGAGAGCAGUCGCAGCAGCACAUGUUCCACGUCGGCUAUCUUCCUCAAUAAUAAACUGCUCAGUAUUCUCAUCUUCAACGUCCCAGGAAUCAUUGUUGGACCUUGAGACAAAAGACUGAACAAAUCCGAUCCCGAAAAAGCCCAACAGAUAUAUAACAGAAGCGAUCAACGAAACCAUAGCGACCAAUUCAGAAAAGGUGACCAUAUGGAGAGGCGUCGAAUUACGGAUCUUCUCACGCCACCUGACGAGAAGGAAAUACAUGACAGAGAAAAACAUGGUGAAAAAUAAACCAUUGGUUAGAUACAAUGGGAGUGGAAGGGCAUCAGAUGCUUUAGGAGAGGAAACUUGUUGGGUUUGUUU
Molecule: long non-coding RNA, 682 nt
Filed under: Nicotiana benthamiana
Lineage: Eukaryota; Viridiplantae; Streptophyta; Magnoliopsida; Solanales; Solanaceae
Description: long non-coding RNA (NBEN_LNC003919)
Source: RNAcentral